This is a long non-coding RNA of Xiphophorus couchianus (Monterrey platyfish), 747 nucleotides long. RefSeq lists it as uncharacterized. Lineage: Eukaryota; Metazoa; Chordata; Actinopteri; Cyprinodontiformes; Poeciliidae. The transcript is spliced from 2 exons. The record is from RefSeq and is a predicted model, not a curated record.
AAUACAAAGUAUUUGUAUUUAUUACAAAUUCCACUCCAUAAUUGUGGAGUGGAAUUAAAAAAGGGUGUCCGCGCAUCCUUGAUAAAAGUUUACAUUCAUGUAUCUAAAAUUAAGGCCUUAAAUGUCCUAACUUCACUAAUUAAAAUGUAAGUUGACCUUACACUCAAGUAUCUAAUACUAACGCCUCAAAAGGUAUUUAAUUAAAAUGUAAGUUGGCCUUAAAUACAUUAAUCGGGUCUUAAUUUUUGAGGUGGCAGGACUAUUUAAUCUCAUAUUCAAUAUGUUUUUUUUAUUGUGAGGCUUUUCUUUUAGGGAAACUUUUGAGUCGCAUGCAGAAAUAUUUAUUGCGUUCUGUGACUCGAAGCUUUGGUGGCCACCGCUCACUAGCUGCUAAUCUACUCCUGCUAUCUAGCUAACUAGCCAGCUAGCUUUUUUUGUGGAAGUGUAAAUUAGUUGGACGAUGUUCAUUUUUGCCACUGGCUCACUUCUGUUCCAAACCCAUUCAAGGCUACAUUCAUUCUGCACAGAAAAACUUGGUACUUCUACUACGUAAAAUAUGCGAUUGUCUUAUUGUACAUUUCUGUUUUGAUACAAGUCCUAAAUGUCAUUCAAAAUGAUCUUAACGGGUCUUAAAAAAGUCUUUUAAUUUGAGUUGGUGAAGCCUGCAGAAAACCUGUAGAUGUAGAAUUAGUUCAAUUUUGUGUAAUUUAAUCUCAGCGUAAACACAAUACAGUUUUCUGGGUUUUU